GCUAAACAAGUAAAAUCCAUGGAAGCUGAAGAGUCACAGAUUACUGGAAACGUAGAAUGUAGGGCUUGAAGGAAUUAUAAAAACCUCAACCCCAAUCCCACAGAAGAAAUGCAGGUUACAACAAUUCAAAUACUUCCUCCUCUAAAAUAAGACAUCUGAAGACACAGAACUGCUAUACAAGACAGAUGUGCUGAACACUGUAAGCCUGUGUCAAAGCAUCUAGAAAUGCAGUGUCACUCCAGUGUGGGGUAACAGAAGAAGUGAGAUGAAAGAACAGAGAGGAUAGCAUCGAAAGUUUAGCACAUAACCUGAAAAUUGCCAAGAAUUGACCCAAAGUCCUUAAUAUUGUCAUAACAUCUGCUGCAAGCACUAAUGUCAAAUUUGGCUCUAUAAAUACUGAUUUGAACUCUUGUGCAAAAUCUCUGACCUAAAAUACUGCAGCUAAAAUACUGCAAGUCCACCAACAGGGAAGGCACACUCUUGGAAAUUCAAAUUUGCUAGAACAGCUUU
Felis catus (domestic cat) is the source of this 510-nucleotide long non-coding RNA. RefSeq lists it as uncharacterized. The transcript has 2 exons. The record is from RefSeq and is a predicted model, not a curated record. NCBI's taxonomy places the organism in Eukaryota, Metazoa, Chordata, Mammalia, Carnivora, Felidae.